Non-coding RNA from Cinara cedri, 209 nucleotides. The record is from the annotation of a GenBank genome assembly. NCBI's taxonomy places the organism in Eukaryota, Metazoa, Arthropoda, Insecta, Hemiptera, Aphididae.
UUAUCGAAUGAAAUAUGACGGAAAACAUAUCCGUUUCGUGAGCAGCGAUUUUAGGUAAUUAAUACAAUUUGGAUGAGUAUUUUGUUUACGGGUUAAUGAUCGCUGAAAAAAACAUACCAUGAAUUUAAAUCACAAGAAUUAAUCAAUAUGGCUAGGAUUUAAAUGUAUUAGUAUGUUUAUUUACCUACUUUAGAUUUUGAGUGGAGCGA